UCAAUGAUUUACAGAUCAUUGAGCAGGCACAUUAAGUAGUAUGUCAUGAGCGUGCACCCGGUCUAUAUUAAGGAUGAUCUGUUUUGCAGGUUGUUUGGUUAAGCCAUGGGCUAUGGCAGGUAUCAGUGAGAGGAACAUCCUGGGGAGAAUGAAUGUCAAAUGCAAGUUUGGCAUAUGUGCUGCUCCUGUGAGGCUCUCUGUUUCCCCACUCCCGGAGUCUCCCGAAGAUCUAAAGCACAUCAGUGCAAUGGUAAUUCAAAAGCAGUACUGUGAGACUGAGACACUCUCACUCUUGUGAGGGAUCACCUGAGGACAAGUAGUGA
Non-coding RNA from Electrophorus electricus (electric eel), 323 nucleotides. The record is from RefSeq and is a predicted model, not a curated record. Lineage: Eukaryota; Metazoa; Chordata; Actinopteri; Gymnotiformes; Gymnotidae.